GUAGGUGGCAAGCGUUGUCCGGAAUUAUUGGGCGUAAAGCGCGCGCAGGCGGUUCUUUAAGUCUGAUGUGAAAGCCCACGGGCUCAACCGUGGAGGGUCAUUGGAAACUGGAGAACUUGAGUACAGAAGAGGAAAGCGGAAUUCCACGUGUAGCGGUGAAAUGCGUAGAGAUGUGGAGGAACACCAGUGGCGAAGGCGGCGUUUCUGGUCUGUAACUGACGCUGAGGCGCGAAAGCGUGGGGAGCAAACAGGAUUAGAUACCCUGGUAGUCCACGCCGUAAACGAUGAGUGCUAAGUGUUAGGGGGGUUUCCGCCCCUUAGUGCUGCAGCUAACGCAUUAAGCACUCCGCCUGGGGAGUACGGCCGCAAGGCUG
Molecule: ribosomal RNA, 374 nt
Filed under: uncultured organism
Description: partial 16S ribosomal RNA
Rfam family: Bacterial small subunit ribosomal RNA
Source: RNAcentral